Molecule: ribosomal RNA, 500 nt
Filed under: uncultured bacterium
Lineage: Bacteria
Description: partial 16S ribosomal RNA
Rfam family: Bacterial small subunit ribosomal RNA
Source: RNAcentral
AUUGAACGCUGGCGGAAUGCUUUACACAUGCAAGUCGAACGGCAGCACGGACUUCGGUCUGGUGGCGAGUGGCGAACGGGUGAGUAAUGUAUCGGAACGUGCCCAGUCGUGGGGGAUAACGUAGUGAAAAUUACGCUAAUACCGCAUACGAUCUAUGGAUGAAAGCGGGGGAUCGCAAGACCUCGCGCGAUUGGAGCGGCCGAUAUCAGAUUAGGUAGUUGGUGGGGUAAAGGCCCACCAAGCCAACGAUCUGUAGCUGGUCUGAGAGGACGGCCAGCCACACUGGAACUGGGACACGGUCCAGACUCCUACGGGAGGCAGCAGUGGGGAAUUUUGGACAAUGGGCGAAAGCCUGAUCCAGCCAUUCCGCGUGCAGGAUGAAGGCCCUCAGGUUGUAAACUGCUUUUGUACAGAACGAAAAGGUUUCUACUAAUACUAGGAGCUCAUGACGGUACUGUAAGAAUAAGCACCGGCUAACUACGUGCCAGCCGCCGCCGUAA